Molecule: non-coding RNA, 107 nt
Organism: Gossypium hirsutum (cotton)
Lineage: Eukaryota; Viridiplantae; Streptophyta; Magnoliopsida; Malvales; Malvaceae
Source: Rfam
AAUCCAUACACCAGACAUUUCUGAAUUAAGUCUUUAAAUCGUUCCUAAGCUUUAUAUAGUGUUUCAUCUUCUAAUUGCUGAAAACAUGCGAUGUCAUUUCUAAGCUU